AGCAUCUUGCACUGCUCCUAACUAGCUUAACGUUAGCUUACUGGUCGUCUCAUCAUGCUCAUUUGGUGUGCUGGUGAAAAAGCUGCUCAGUUUUGUACAUUUGGCCCCGUCAGUUUGAAGAGCUUUCUUUUUUUUUUAAUCUUACCUUUUCAACGCCGCCUUUUGCGCUUUCUAUUAUCCAUUUUAGCCUAUAUCCUGCGUCAACAACAAGCACCACUGACUGAAGUUUACAAAUUACAUUUCUUUUUUAGCAAGGUGCCGCUUGUGCCGUCAGGGGAGUCAAAAGAUAAUUACGUCAUCAUUAAACUGCAGGCUGCACUCUUCGAGUGGGCUGCAGAAAAAUAAUAAAUAAAAAGAGUGGGGCUGCAGUAAAAUAGUGCAGGCAGCAUAGGGACAUUAACCAUAUUUCAACCCAGUGCCAUGACAACACCGGCCCUCACGGCCCAAAAAACAGACCGGCCCACCGGGAAUUCUCCCAGUGCUCCCCGUUAGCCAAUCCAGGCCUGCUGUGGAGGGUUAGUGAGCUUCUUUACCAUAGCAAAAAGAGAUUUGGAUCUGCAUGUGCUUUUUUUUUUAUUUAUUAUUAUUAUUAUUUUUUUUUUUAUAAAUUUGCAAAGAUUUCAAACAAACUUCUUUCAUGUUGUCAUUAUGGGGUAUUGUUUGUAGAAUUUUGAGGAAAAUAAUUAAUUUAAUCCAUUUUGGAAUAAGGCUGUAACAUAACUAAAUGUGGGAAAAGUGAAGAACUGUGAAUACUUUCCGGAUGCACUGUAAUAGUGUUAUGGGUGUAAUAGCUGAUGGGUUAACAGAACUGAUUUUAUGAUAGGUGAGCAUUUUUUUAGUAGGCAGUAGAGAAAACUAAAGCUAAAUUUUAAAGGUUUAUGAUCAUUGAAAGCAAAAUCAGAACCAAUAACAGAGACAUUAUAUAAACCAGAUGUACAGAUGAGAUCCAGUAUACGACCCCUGGAGUGAGUGGCAAAAGUAACAUGUUAGAUUAUAUUGAAGCAAUCCAACACAGAUAUUAAUUCAUUGCAAUGCACAGUAUUUUUAUGUAUAUUAAAAUCACCAUGUACAAUUACAGAUGAAUAUCUAGCACAGACAAGAGUGAGUAGUUCUCUAAUCUCAUAGAAAAAAUCAGAGUGACAUCUUGGAGGUUUAUAGAUUAAGAUCACAGCCAUUGAUGUUCGAACAACCAUUUUAAAUGCUAGGUAUUCAAAAGAUGCAACAUCAUGAAACUCAAUUUCUGAUAUUUUAAUAUUCUCACAGCAAACUACAGCCAACCCUACACCUCUACGAUGGGGGCGUGGUUUAGAAAAAUAGAUAUACCUAGGUGGGUUAAGGAGGUUUAAAUUCAGGAUGUCAUUUGGCACCUGCCAAGUCACAGUCAGAAUUUACCACAGAUGCUUUAUCAGUCAAAGAGCAAGUGUUCAGCAGAGCACACCACAGAACAGGAGAAGCAGUUUUGCAGUUGCCAAAGUCAGGAUCGAUGCGUAAUAUCCUCAGAUUUUAGUAGCUGAUCACACAUUUUUCCUGCUGCGAUUUACCAGGAGCACAGGUGUUAGUGCAAAGCACAGGAAUGAUGCUUGGAGAUGUGUAGUGAAGAGACCAAGAUAUGUAGCAGUGGUGGCGUAAAACUCCAAGUUGUUUACAACAGUGGUUCUCAACCAGGGGGCGCAGAGAGAUUGGACGGGGGGCGCAAGAGGUUUUCAAGAAAAAACCCACAGCCAGGCCAUCAUUUGGGUACUCGCUGUAUUUUAUUGCUUUUCAAAUAGAAUGUACAUAAAUGGAAAAACCUCACGUUCCCUCUCCCUCUGCAUUUUCUUUUUGCUGGGAAGAGGAAUACCUUAGCUUGCCUUUUAUAUAGCUGUCAGUGCAGACCAGUGUUGCCAACUUAGCGACUUUUCAGACCGCUUUAGUGCCUUUUUGUUUUUUUUUUUUUUGCAAAAAAGUGCCUAACGACAAAUCUAGCGACUUUGUGGACAAACCUUAGCAACUUUAUAAAUGUUGCCAGUACUGUCCUGCAAGCGUGAGGUCUUGCUUUCCCACUGCACUCACACCUCUCUCUGCAUCUGCUCUGUUCCGUGAGUGGCUGAGAGCCGGAGAUUUAACAUGUCAUGGAUAACGAGACGCGCCCUUCGUCCCAAUUUACAUCAUUCAUAUGCCAAUGUUUUUAGAACGCAAGAUGAAUGGGAUUCAACAUGUUUUACAUGUAAAAUAGUACACAUUAUUACAACCUAGUUCUCUUAUUCAAAGUAGCUAUAGUGUUUAGAAACAUUUUUAAUCAUUCAUGUUCCAUACCUGUCCGUUAUAUAGUUUUAUAAAAGUCAUAAAAGUUAUGAAAAGUAAUUUAAAAAGUACAAAAACACAAAAGCAAGAAAAAUUUCUCUCUCUCUCUCUCUCUCUCCAAAAACAGAUUAGAGAGAGAGAGUGAGAGCGAGAGAGAGAGAGAGAGAGAGAGAGAGAGAUAUUAUAGAAGAGAUAAUUGUUAUACCUGGCUUGGGGGGCCUCUGGUUUACACCAUUGAUAAGUGUCCUUGGCCAAAAAAACUCUCUUUUAAUAGAUCUAAGCUGAGUGGCAGAGUACUGUAGAGCCAUGUCGGGAGAAUAGAUUUGAUUAAAAUUGGCCAAAACCAGUCCAAAAAGGACAGAACUUGAGAGCAAUUACACAGCAGCAUGACCAGUGAUCCAUCGGGAUCCACACAACAACUAAUCGAUAUACCUGUGAUAGCCAGAAAGGUAUCGACUAACAAACAAAAACAAACAAACAGGUACCAGCGUGAAGUAGCAGCACAAGCGUGCAUAGCGUUCUCACACAGGAAAUGGAAACAACCCCAGGAUGCCAGGAUUGGAAUGACCCUUCCCUUCCUUCUAAACCUUACCACAAUUUUUCUUUUCCCUUAAACCGAACCAUAAACCUUCCCUGUCCUCAAAACCUAAUCGUAAUCCUUCUCUUUUCUUCAAACCUAAGCACAACCUUUCCUUACCCUUAACUCUAACCAUAACCCAUCCCUUAACUCCAAGCCUAACCAUAAUCCUUUCCUUCCCCCUAAACCCAACCACAACCUUUCAUGUCCUCUACUCAUAACCAUAACCUUCCCUUCCCUCUAAGCCUAAACAUAACCCUUCCCUUCCCUCUAACCCAACUAUAACCACUUUCCUGCCCCCAUAUAAACCUGUUUUUUAAAAUGUUUUUGUUGUUGUUGUUGUUGUUGUUGAUUUAAUAAAGUUUGUUGCCUUUAUUAAAAGUUUUCUUUAAGAAUUGUUUUUAAGGGGCUGAUGGAAAGACUGAAGGAGGAACUUUUUGGAUGAAGAUCUUGACUGGAAAAGGAGAAGAAAAGAACAGAGGACCUUCUUUUUUGUGGUUUUUCGUUCAAGAGCUUUCAAAAAGGAUUAUUAUUCAAAAGUGACUGAGACGAAGAAAAGAAAAAUCUUUUCAGAUGAGUAAAGGUCUUCUAGGCCUAAAACAUGGAUUUUAAACCACCAGACCCCAUGAGCAUCUAGGAUGGCCUGCGUUUAAGGAGUCUCCAUUUCCUUCAAUGGAAAUUGGUCAUCUACCAGUUCCAAAGAAUCAGAGAAAGAGCUAAGAGACUCUUACACCCUUUUUUCUUCCUCAUUCCCUUCUUUUUCUUUACAGUUACUGACUGCAUAGUGAGGCAAUGCUGUCUUUGAAGAACAGGUUUGCCAUUUUAUCUCAUGAGUUGGAGGGAAUGGAACAUGAUAGACAUAGGAAACACACAUACAUCUUUGUUAGCUAAAGUAGCAUCUAGACAAUACAGUAAACUAUUUUUUUUAUUAGUAAGUUUAAGUUUAUUCAAGUUUCUCAUCACAGUGGUAUUGUGGAGUUAGCAAUUGAGACAGGGACUUUUCCUAAAGGAAUGAGUAAACAGGCUAAUAAGCUAUCACAAUUCAUUAAACCUGCAUGUCCAAGUUCAAUCACUAGUCAGAAAGUUAAAGACAGCAUUCAUCAUUGGAUGAUGACAAACAUGCACAUUUUGAAAUAUCAUUAUAGUGGAGUCUUGAAGGAACUUUUGAAUGCCAAAGUUUUGAAACUGUUGAGUGGGGGAUUGCGGUGAAAUGGGCCAAAGGUAGGUUCAGGCAGAAAUUAAAACAAGACACACUACUUAAAUCUGAGCAACAGUUGAGAAACAGAUUCAAAGCUAUUGAGGAUAAAGAUGUUGCAUGCUUGCCUUUUCUCCAAAUACUGGUGAUCUUAAUGAUACAAUGCCUACUUUAGUCUGCCCACAAGCCCCACAAUUUCCUGUGUCCCCUGUUGGGAAUAAUUUGAUGUUUCAGGAGGGAGUCAGUUUCUCCAAGACCAAAACUGUUGUUCAUCAUGAACCUAACUUGGUACAACACAAAAUUGUUUCAGUUCAGAAUAAUGGUAAGAGUAAAAACAUUCAGAAUAUAACCUUGCCUGAAACAUUUAAUGAUAUUUCUCCUGUGUCUUCAGAGCCUGCACAGAGGGAUGAACAGGGGUGGGUGUUGUGAGGAAUCAGGGGAAAAAGAGUGAUGAAUAGCUUUCUUGAAGGGCAGAGUCACAACAUCUUACGAACCUGGUCUGAAUCUUCUCUCUCUCCUUCCUGCGUUUUCCUCUUUCCCCACUUAGCAGGUGUAUGACUAUAGACUCUAAAACUCAAAGAGCAUCACUGCAUGAUAUUAUAGGUUCUAAUAAUGCAUGUUACAUUAUUGUUAUAAUAUUAUAGUUCACACACACACACACACACACACACACACACACACACACACACACACAGUUCCACCCAAACGCAGAUUUGCUUUAAUCAAGGUUAUAUGUAAAGUAGGACAAACGGACAGAGAUGUUUGAAUUAGGUGACCUGCGUUGUGUCAACAGUCCAGACUGGUACAGGUGGUCUAAUGGUGUGGGGAAUAUUUUUUUUUUGGCAAACUUUGGCCUGUUAAUACCAAUAAAUCAUGGCUUGAAUGCCACAGCCUAUUUGAGUAUUGUUACUGACCAUGUGCAUCCCUUCAUGGCCACAAGUUAACCAGCUUCUAAUGGCUACUUCCAGCAUGAUAAUGCACCAUGUCACAAAGCAAAAUUGGUCUCAAACUGGUUUCAUGAACAUGACAAUGUGUUCUGUGUUCUUCAGUGGCUUUCCCAUUCCCUGGUUCUAAAUCCAAUAGAACACCAUUGAGAUUUUCAGGAUGAAAGCGCACCUGAAAAAUCUGCAGGAACUGCAUGAUGCAAUCAUGUCAACAUGGACCAGAAUCUCAAACGAAUGUUUCCAUCAUCUGGUGGAAUCCAUGUCAUGAAGAAUUUAGGCUGUUUUGAGAACAAAUGGAGGCCUUAUCCAGUAUUAGUAUAGUGUUCCUAAAAAAGUGCUCAGUGAGUGUAUUAACCCCAAAGUUAAUUACUUAGUCUAUUCGUUGAUUAAUAUAAACACACUGCAGAGAGUUUGAGUCUGUGUUCUAUUUCAACUCUUCUAACCUACCAAGGGCAGAGUCUAACAUCGGGAUAUCCUCGUGUGUGUGUGUGUGUGUGUGUGUGUGAACCAUGCUGAGACCUUCAACAAUGUCAAGGUGACCGUGAUGCGGCAUUUGUUAUAAAUACCUUCUCAUUAUGUCUCUCUGAUCCAUUUACUCUACUGACCUUGUACCAUGCUGGACCUCCUGUGUAUCAUGGAUCUAUGUGACCUGUCCUCUAAAGCUGGUGACAGACUCUUGUCAUCACGUCGUGGCUGCGAUGAUGCAACAGAAGAUUCACAUAGACCUUUCACACAGUCCAUGUGUCUGUCUGCAUCUCUCUGUGCUCUGACUGGAAAAGGAAAAUGUAAUUCUGUUAUAUAGUACACCUUUCAUCUAAUAUAGUUCAAUAAUCAUCUGCUGAAUUCUAACAGAGAUGUCAGUGUAAUGAAAGGACACAUACAUAACCAAGGACAUUAAAUGUCAUGCCCCAAGGGUGUGCAAACCUUUUCAUUUAAACCAGUCUGUCGGUCACUGUGAUUUGUUUUAUUCAGAGUUUAUGUAAAGUAGGACAAAAGGGACAAAGUGGUUUGCAUAAGCCUUUUUGCCUGAAGGAUGAUAAAUAAGAAGGUGAGUUUAUCACCAAAUGGAAAAAAAAGGUCUCUGAAGGUCACAGGGACAAAAUAAAAACAGAACAUUGAUAGUUUACCUCCAGAUUUCAGCUCUCAUCUAAUACACUACUCCAAGACUCAAGCUAUUAAUACUUACUAAGGAGAAAUGUUUACUGAAAAGGUACAAAAGAGCCACAAGUUAGACAAUAAAAGAUUUAGAAUAUUUCACAUUAGCAUUGUUAAUGUUAAAGUUACAGAAUUAGGGUUGUGCAGUUUUUGUAACAAAUACCUUCUCAUCAUGUCUCUCUGCUCCUUUUACUCUAUUUGCUUAAUACCAUGUCAGACCUCCUGGACCUACCUUUCUAACUUAUCAUCACAACUUCUCUAUCUGUGAGUUAGCUAUGAACUAUUCUGUUGCUCAGUAGAGUGCUCACCUCUCAGUCUGCUAACGAGUGGUUUCUUUCACCAUCUGGCGACCCACAGAGCUAUGAACAUGUGCAGUUAGCAUGGUCUAGUGGUUCUCCCCACCAUACCACACGCCACUCCACUGAGAAGCAACACUACAGGAAAUAAACUGUCCAAGCUGGUGGCUGGGGUUUAUCUACUCCCUGACUGCAACAGGCUGCUCUCUGUGACAGUAAACACCACAAGCAGCUGAACUCCAACACAUGAUGUUAGGAGUGCAUCUUCCAAAUGCAUUUACUGACAAUUUUUAAAUUUAUAAAACACAAAAAUAUUUGUGCUUUCAUUUUAUUCAUUUGUACUUCUUUUUUAUUUAUUAAAGAUUUAUUCUUGUCCUUUCGCCAGUUUUGGAGGGAUGUCCUGUUCGUGGAAAUGUCUUUAUGGUGCCCACUUUCCUCCACUUCUUGACAACGACUUUAAUGAGGUUCCAUGGUACAUUUAAUGUUUUGGAAAUGUUGUACAUGCUUUGUAAGCUCUUUGUGGACCAUGGCUUCAGCAGUUGGAUGGAACCAAGAUGACAUCAAGAAAAUCCUACAGAAACAGCUGAUCUUUACUUGGGUUUAUUCAGAAUCACUUUGAUGACAGAUGUAUGAUAAUUACUGUUGAAAAUGAGUUAAAGUGUGAUUGGUUAAUUCUGAGCACAGUCACAUGACACAUUAUAAAAGUUAAACUUAUGCAGAGUAUUGUAAGUUUUUUCUUUUUUUCUAAAACAUUUAAAUUUGCUUUUCACUUCAAUUUUGUUGGUUGCUAUAUCACAUUCAAGUUGGGAAAAGAUCUCACAUUUGAUCAGAUUUAUCUUGGUUUCAUUGGUUUACAUUACAAAAAAUGGUUGAUUAAUAGCACAAUACUGUGAUAAACAUGAUGUUUUAGACUGGAUUAUCAUAAUGUGAACAUUUCAAACUGUAACACCUCUACUUUACUUAAUGAAAUGGCCCACAGGAAAGACAGGUGAAGCAGUUUCUGUUUAAAAUCAGCAGCUUAGUGUGUCAGAUAUGGGUCAAAAAUAUCUGAAAAACAUUUUCUACAAUAAAAAUAUUUAAUGUAAAAAGCUCAAUGUUAAUUCUGAACCUGCUGAACAUAGAGAUGUCACUUUUCAUUACAUUAAAACAAUAAAUAAUUAUGACCAUCAA
Molecule: long non-coding RNA, 7620 nt
Organism: Ictalurus furcatus (blue catfish)
Lineage: Eukaryota; Metazoa; Chordata; Actinopteri; Siluriformes; Ictaluridae
Exons: 2
Source: RefSeq, a predicted model, not a curated record